Molecule: long non-coding RNA, 507 nt
Organism: Esox lucius (northern pike)
Lineage: Eukaryota; Metazoa; Chordata; Actinopteri; Esociformes; Esocidae
Exons: 3
Source: RefSeq, a predicted model, not a curated record
AGAAAACCAAGAAAUGCAGAUGCAAGAUAUCCAGAACUUGACAACUCAACAGAGCACCAAAAAUCAGGAUGCAAUGAAAAGUGUCAAGCAGACCACAGAUGAAGGCAGAGAAGAUCCCUUUGUGAAAAAGAGUGAAAGAGAAAGCAGAACUCCUAAAGAAAAUGGAGAAGAUGAACGAGGAGGGGCAGAAACAACUUCCGGCAGACCUGAGAGCCCUGGGGAAUUCUCAGAGUGCCACUACAUCUGAAGAGGACAGGAGGAAAGGAGAGGCUGCAAGAAAGCAUGAUGAACAGCAACAGUGGGAUCAUUUCUUCAAUGACUGACUGAGGAAUGCGGAGGAGGGGAACUGGAGAAAACAGUGCACUGCCGCGAGGGGAUUUCAAGGUGUUCCAAAAAAUCAAGCUAAGAUGACAACCUAGAAGCCACAUCAAAAAUGUCAGAGAUACUCGUAAGUUUGAAGGAUGUCACUGGCUCUAAAUGGAAAAGAGGGGGUGGAGUAGAGGAAGA